This 520-nucleotide unclassified non-coding RNA is filed under the name uncultured Acaulospora. RNAcentral describes it as "SSU rRNA". It matches the Rfam family "Eukaryotic small subunit ribosomal RNA", at positions 569 to 1090 of the family's 1831-position model. The record is from RNAcentral. Lineage: Eukaryota; Fungi; Glomeromycota; Glomeromycetes; Diversisporales; Acaulosporaceae.
AGCAGCCGCGGUAAUUCCAGCUCCAAUAGCGUAUAUUAAAGUUGUUGCAGUUAAAAAGCUCGUAGUUGAAUUUCGGGAUCAGUUGGUCGGUCGUGCCUCGGUACGUACUGGUCAAAUUGAUUCCUACCUUCUGACGAACCACGAUGUCAUUAAUUUGGUGUCGCGGGAAAUCAGGACUGUUACUUUGAAAAAAUUAGAGUGUUUAAAGCAGGCUCGCGCUUGAAUACAUUAGCAUGGAAUAAUGAAAUAGGACGUUUGAUUCUAUUUUGUUGGUUUCUAGGAUCGACGUAAUGAUUAAUAGGGAUAGUUGGGGGCAUUAGUAUUCAAUUGUCAGGGGUGAAAUUCUUGGAUUUAUUGAAGACUAACUACUGCGAAAGCAUUUGCCAAGGAUGUUUUCAUUAAUCAAGAACGAAAGUUAGGGGAUCGAAGACGAUCAGAUACCGUCGUAGUCUUAACCAUAAACUAUGCCGACUAGGGAUCGGAUGAUGUUAAUUUUUUUAAUGACUCAUUCGGCACCUUA